UUUAGACUUAAACAGUGAAAACUUAAGUAGUAUUAGUUAUAGUCUUGAAACUUAAAGAAUUUGGCGGUAUUUUAGUCUAUUUAGAGGAAUCUGUUCCAUUAUCGAUAAUCCACGUUGGACCUUACUUAAUGAAAUUAAUUUGUAUACCGCCGUUUAUUGAAAAUCUUAUUAGAGAUAAUUUUCUUAAUUUAUCUUUUAAAAUAUUUCAGGUCAAGGUGCAGUUUAUAAUUAAGUGGAAAUGGAUUACAAUAUAUUUUUAAACGGAUUAUAUUAUGAAAAAUUUAUAUGAAGGUGGAUUUAAUAGUAAUAUUAUGAAGAUUAUUAAGGUGAUUUAAGCUCUAAAAUGUGC
This 349-nucleotide ribosomal RNA is filed under the name Epilamprinae sp. MNHN BL129. Its description in RNAcentral is "partial 12S ribosomal RNA". Lineage: Eukaryota; Metazoa; Arthropoda; Insecta; Blattodea; Blaberidae. The record is from RNAcentral.